RNAcentral lists this ribosomal RNA (311 nucleotides) under uncultured eukaryote. RNAcentral describes it as "partial 18S ribosomal RNA". It matches the Rfam family "Eukaryotic small subunit ribosomal RNA", at positions 1470 to 1796 of the family's 1831-position model. The record is from RNAcentral.
CCCCUAGACGUUCUGGGCUGCACGCGCGCUACAAUAAUACGCACAGCGAGUAUCACCGAGCUCGAAAGGGCAAGGUAAACAAUAGAAAAGGUACUGUAAUGGUUAUAGAUCCUUGUAAUUAUUGAUCUUCAACGAGGAAUUCCUAGUAAGUAUGUGUCAUCAUCACGCACUGAUUACGUCCCUGCCCUUUGUACACACCGCCCGUCGCUCCUACCGAUUGGGUGAGCCGAUGAAACUCUCGGAUGUAGGCUAUUCACAGCCCGCAGAAGAGAUUUGAAUCGUAGCGCUUAGAGGAAGGAGAAGUCGUAACA